RNAcentral lists this ribosomal RNA (305 nucleotides) under uncultured bacterium. Its description in RNAcentral is "bacterial SSU rRNA". It matches the Rfam family "Bacterial small subunit ribosomal RNA", at positions 334 to 637 of the family's 1533-position model. The record is from RNAcentral.
CGUCCCUACGGGGGGCAGCAGUGAGGAAUAUUGGUCAAUGGGAGAGAUCCUGAACCAGCCAAGCCGCGUGAGGGAAGACGGCCCUAUGGGUUGUAAACCUCUUUUGUCGGAGAACAAAACCCGGGACGAGUCCCGGACUGCGUGUAUCCGAAGAAAAAGCAUCGGCUAACUCCGUGCCAGCAGCCGCGGUAAUACGGAGGAUGCGGGCGUUAUCCGGAUUUAUUGGGUUUAAAGGGUGCGUAGGCGGUCCGUUAAGUCAGCGGUAAAAUUGAGGGGCUCAACCCCGUCCAGCCGUUGAACAUGGG